GACGAAUGUUGGCGGCGUGCUUAACACAUGCAAGUCGAACGGAAAGGCCCUGCUUUUGUGGGGUGCUCGAGUGGCGAACGGGUGAGUAACACGUGAGUAACCUGCCCUUGACUUUGGGAUAACUUCAGGAAACUGGGGCUAAUACCGGAUAGGAGCUCCUGCUGCAUGGUGGGGGUUGGAAAGUUUCGGCGGUUGGGGAUGGACUCGCGGCUUAUCAGCUUGUUGGUGGGGUAAUGGCUUACCAAGGCUUUGACGGGUAGCCGGCCUGAGAGGGUGACCGGCCACAUUGGGACUGAGAUACGGCCCAGACUCCUACGGGAGGCAGCAGUGGGGAAUAUUGCACAAUGGGCGGAAGCCUGAUGCAGCAACGCCGCGUGCGGGAUGACGGCCUUCGGGUUGUAAACCGCUUUCGCCUGUGACGAAGCGUGAGUGACGGUAAUGGGUAAAGAAGCACCGGCUAACUACGUGCCAGCAGCCGCGGUGAUACGUAGGGUGCGAGCGUUGUCCGGAUUUAUUGGGCGUAAAGGGCUCGUAGGUGGUUGAUCGCGUCGGAAGUGUAAUCUUGGGGCUUAACCCUGAGCGUGCUUUCGAUACGGGUUGACUUGAGGAAGGUAGGGGAGAAUGGAAUUCCUGGUGGAGCGGUGGAAUGCGCAGAUAUCAGGAGGAACACCAGUGGCGAAGGCGGUUCUCUGGGCCUUUCCUGACGCUGAGGAGCGAAAGCGUGGGGAGCGAACAGGCUUAGAUACCCUGGUAGUCCACGCUGUAAACGGUGGGUACUAGGUGUGGGGUCCAUUCCACGGGUUCCGUGCCGUAGCUAACGCUUUAAGUACCCCGCCUGGGGAGUACGGCCGCAAGGCUAAAACUCAAAGGAAUUGACGGGGCCCCGCACAAGCGGCGGAGCAUGCGGAUUAAUUCGAUGCAACGCGUAGAACCUUACCUGGGUUUGACAUGGAUCGGGAGUGCUCAGAGAUGGGUGUGCCUCUUUUGGGGUCGGUUCACAGGUGGUGCAUGGCUGUCGUCAGCUCGUGUCGUGAGAUGUUGGGUUAAGUCCCGCAACGAGCGCAACCCUUGUUCACUGUUGCCAGCACGUUAUGGUGGGGACUCAGUGGAGACCGCCGAGGUCAACUCGGAGGAAGGUGGGGAUGACGUCAAGUCAUCAUGCCCCUUAUGUCCAGGGCUUCACGCAUGCUACAAUGGCUGGUACAGAGAGUGGCGAGCCUGUGAGGGUGAGCGAAUCUCGGAAAGCCGGUCUCAGUUCGGAUUGGGGUCUGCAACUCGACCUCAUGAAGUCGGAGUCGCUAGUAAUCGCAGAUCAGCAACGCUGCGGUGAAUACGUUCCCGGGGCU
Molecule: ribosomal RNA, 1346 nt
Filed under: uncultured bacterium
Lineage: Bacteria
Description: partial 16S ribosomal RNA
Rfam family: Bacterial small subunit ribosomal RNA
Source: RNAcentral